Molecule: unclassified non-coding RNA, 487 nt
Filed under: Hevea brasiliensis (rubber tree)
Lineage: Eukaryota; Viridiplantae; Streptophyta; Magnoliopsida; Malpighiales; Euphorbiaceae
Source: RNAcentral
AGGAAAUAUCCCAAAUCUAGCAUGCGUGUCGAUGAACUUGGCUCCUUUGGCAGCGAUGAGUAUGUCACAAGCCAAAGCGAUCUCAAAUCCAGCGGUGAUAGCGAAACCUGCUAUCGCUCCUAUGAUCGGUUUCCGGCAGCGUUCCAUUUGCGCAACCGGAUCGGAUUCAACAUCCUUCACAUCUCCCUUGAAAACGUCCUCCGCCGCAGUAAGAUCUACCCCAGAACAGAAGGCUCGUCCUGAUCCAGAGAGUACGAUGACUCGCACGGAAUCAUCGCGGUCUAAGCUCUUGAACGCCUGAGCCAAAUCUGUCAUCAUCGGCUUCGUUAACGAAUUCAACGACUUCGGGCGGUUGAUUGUAACGAAAGCGAUCCCGCUUGAUUCCCUGGUGACGAGAAUGAGUUUUUCCGGCGAAGAACGAUCCAUUCCGGCGAAGAUUGAUGAAAUUUGGGAAUGAAGAUUGAAUUAAAAAGAGUUGGGGCAUUGG